CUUUGUUCAGUCCUGCAUCAUUGGGUCCCCAUGGGCUAGGUAGAUUUGCUGGCUGUCUGCGGUAUAAUUGCCCUUUCAUGGUUUGUAGGCAUAUCUUACAACCCAGAAUUCCCUGUACUCAAUCCUGACUCUGCCUGUUGGUAGCAUCAUGCUGGUGUAGUUUUUGGACUCAAAAUCUGUUCAUCUUUUUGCAGGGCUAUGGGUCUACUUAUUUUUCUUUGUGAGAUGAGGAUAUCUCAUCUUGUGCCCUUUCUCUCCAGGACUCUACAGUGUUUUCUACCCUCCCAGCUGACACUUUUCCUCCUCCUGGUACACAAGUUACAAGGAACCGACCUCUAUCCUGCUAAUGGGUGACUCUCAGGAGGCAUGGCCUCAGCUGGAAAAGCCACCCUGGGGAGAAAUUUCAGAGAUAGAUCUCAGUGAUGAGCUCAGCCUGACCGGACAAAGUCACCGCUUCUACACACUCCACUCAGGUCCACAAGCACUGCUUUCCUGAUGCCACACUCAGCAAAAGCAUGAUUCUUGAAAAAUGCUUGCCCAAGAUGUCAACCAAAUGCUUUGGGAUUCAAGGUUACACUGCUGGAGAAUCCACGGGCAUUCAUACCCCAGACAAUCUGUCAAACCCUCUGGUCUUGGGGCUCUGCCACCAGUAUGGAAAUGACCCCUAGUCAUGUGAAGGAAAAACUGUGUACCCAGUCUCAGUAGAGGCCUUUUGGACCUGAGAGUUGGAAGCAACCUGUAACUCAACUUUCCUCACUGGACACGUACUUGGGAUUCUGCCUUGCCAUCUCUACCCUAUCUCUGAACCCAGAAGGGGCAACCUCAAGCAGCAGCUGAUCAUGUCAGGGCUCUUCCUCCUCUACCAGCCAUUACCUCUACCAACAACUGGGAUCCCAUCCUUCUGACUCCUGGUCCCACCCAGUUCUCUCUGCCUUCCUCUUGAGCACCUGUGAGCCUGAUUUGGUCUCCCUCUCUCUCUUAAAAAAAAAAAAAAAAAGGAAAAGGAAAGAAAGAAAAAGAAAAAUCAAAUGCCUUAAGGAGUAUGGUUUUCUCUCUUAAAUUCUCCCANAAAAAAAAAAAAAAGAAAAGAAAAAAGAAAAAGAAAGAAAAAGAAAAAUCAAAUGCCUUACGGAGUGUGGUUUUCUCUCUCAAAUUCUCCCGUAUCCCUCAUUGUGCCCUGUCAGCACUCCUUUAAUUCAAUCAGCCAAACACACUUCUAGGCAGGUAACCUGCUUGAAAUAUCCCUGCUUUCUCUCCUCCCCAUAUUUUAAGUGAUGUGACUUUAGGUAGGAUUUUCCUUCAGUGGUACACGAAAAAUGGAGAGUCUCAGAUGGGAGAAAAAUAGGAAACUCUU
This 1354-nucleotide long non-coding RNA is filed under the name Sus scrofa (pig). RNAcentral's name for it is "lncRNA (ENSSSCG00025024610.1)". Lineage: Eukaryota; Metazoa; Chordata; Mammalia; Artiodactyla; Suidae. The record is from RNAcentral.